AAUAAGUUGUCUAGGAUGGCCUUGAAAUAACCCUGUUCAGGUAGACCUUGCAUUUGCAAUCCGCUUGCCCAUCUUUCUAAGCAGCUGGAGCUACAGGUCUGUCCCACGAGGUUCAACCAAUGUGAGGAACUUAGCGACAUAAUAUGUGGCCUCACUGUAGCCCAGCAGAUGCCAUGUUUGCUAUAUUAACACUACUUGUAGAUUUUUGUUGUUCUUCUUGCUUUUGUUUUUUUUUUUUUUUUGAGACAGAGUCUCUCUAUGUAUCGCUGACUGUCUUGGAGCUUGAUCUGUAGAUCAGACUAGCCUCAAAUUCAAUAGAUUUACCUACCUUAGAGUGAUGGGAUAAAGCAACUGUACUGCCACACCUGGCUUGUUUGGAGAUGUCCUUAACUAAAUUUUAAAGGAUUGGUAGAAUUUUUGAAAAGUAGGUUCCAAAAAUACUUCUUCAAGCAACAGUGUAAACGUAUGAGAACUUAGACCCUAAGCAGGAGUGGCAAGUUAUAUAACUACAAUAAAGAAUGAUGUUAGAUGUGAUAGGAGAUAAGGAGGGCUGGACCAGAACGUUCAGACCUUUUGCAGUUUUUGUGUUUAUUAUUUUUCAUUUUUAGGUCUUUGGGGACAGAAUCUCAUGUUGUCCCAGCUGGCCUCGGCCUUUCAGUGGACCUGAGAAUACCUUAGAACUGUUGUCUUCUGAGUCCCGCUCCCACAGGCUGAGGCUGUACCUUUGUGCCACCAUGCCCUGCUCUCAGUACUGAGUAACACGUUGAGGAAUUUAGUCCGCAAUCAGGGCUGUAAAACUUUCAGUAACCAGGAGCUCAGGAAGGAAAGGGGUUGGGUUUUGUUCCUUUAAAUUAUUUAUUUUAAUCUUUUUUUAUAUGUAUAUGCAUUUUACCAGCAUGUGCAUAUGUGUGUGUACCAAGUGAAUGUCUGGUUCCCACAGAGGUCACAAGAAGGUAUUAGACCUCUUGGAACUGGGAGUUACAGAUGGUUGUAAGCCACCAUGUGGGUGCCAGGAACCAAAGGAACCAGUGCUCGUAAUUUUUUAAAGUUUAAAAAAAUUUUUUAUUUUAUGUAUAUGAGUGUUUUGCCUGCUUAUAUGUAAAUGUGCUACAUGUAUGCAGUGUCCAUAGAGGUCAGAAAAGGAUGUUGGGUUCCUAAUAACUGGAAUAUAGAUAAUUGUGGUUCUGAGAACUGGUCUUCUAGACGAGCAGUUAUUGGUCUUAACCACUGAGCCAUCCAUCACUCCAGCCCCAAUAAGAAGUCUUUAAAAGAAUUAAGGCGGAGAGCGAUGGGAGGAGACCUGAUGUUGACCUCUGAUCUCUUACUGUGCACACAUAGAAUACUGUAUCUGUACUCGCGCACACACACACACACACACACACACACACACACACCAGCACAUUUGGAAUAGUGUACCUAUGUACACACACAAAAACACACAUACACACCAAAAAUAAAUAAAUAAAAAUAAAACAAGAUCCCAAUUUUCUUCUUGAUAUGAAUCAGUAUAUAAUAUAAAACUGAAAAUAACAAAUUUGAGCCCUCACUAGCUUUUAAGCACUUGCCUAAGAACGCACUUCCAAGGCCUGGAAUGGUGGUGCAUUCCUUUAACCUCCAGCACUUGGGAGGCAGAGGCAGGCGGAUUUCUGAGUUUAAGUCCAGCCUGGUCUACAUAGUAAGUUCCAGGACAGCCAAGGCUGCACAGAAAAACCCUGUCUUGAAAGAAAGAAAGAGAGAGAAAGAGAAAGAGAGAGAGAAAAAAAGGAAGAAAGGAAGGAAGAAAGGAAAGAAAAGGG
This 1796-nucleotide long non-coding RNA is filed under the name Mus musculus (house mouse). Its description in RNAcentral is "long non-coding RNA chr4:116764981-116766777". Lineage: Eukaryota; Metazoa; Chordata; Mammalia; Rodentia; Muridae. The record is from RNAcentral.